This 490-nucleotide ribosomal RNA is filed under the name uncultured bacterium. RNAcentral's name for it is "partial 16S ribosomal RNA". It matches the Rfam family "Bacterial small subunit ribosomal RNA", at positions 30 to 507 of the family's 1533-position model. The record is from RNAcentral.
AUUGAACGCUGGCGGCAGGCCUAACACAUGCAAGUCGAACGGUAACAGGAAGAAGCUUGCUUCUUUGCUGACGAGUGGCGGACGGGUGAGUAAUGUCUGGGAAACUGCCUGAUGGAGGGGGAUAACUACUGGAAACGGUAGCUAAUACCGCAUAACGUCGCGAGACCAAAAAGGGGGACCUUCGGGCCUCUUGCCAUCGGAUGUGCCCAGAUGGGAUUAGCUAGUAGGUGGGGUAACGGCUCACCUAGGCGACGAUCCCUAGCUGGUCUGAGAGGAUGACCAGCCACACUGGAACUGAGACACGGUCCAGACUCCUACGGGAGGCAGCAGUGGGGAAUAUUGCACAAUGGGCGCAAGCCUGAUGCAGCCAUGCCGCGUGUAUGAAGAAGGCCUUCGGGUUGUAAAGUACUUUCAGCGGGGAGGAAGGGAGUAAAGUUAAUACCUUUGCUCAUUGACGUUACCCGCAGAAGAAGCACCGGCUAACUCCGUG